Long non-coding RNA from Morone saxatilis (striped sea-bass), 862 nucleotides. RefSeq lists it as uncharacterized. The record is from RefSeq and is a predicted model, not a curated record. Lineage: Eukaryota; Metazoa; Chordata; Actinopteri; Moronidae. The transcript is spliced from 2 exons.
GUUUGUAUCAUCAUGACAUGAAAAAAUUCUCUUUAAUUCCAGAUAAAAGGUGUAUCCGGAAUCCACAAAACCAACAAAACCAAGGAAAUCAGGAGGUGAUGAUUCCACUAAGGACGAAUGAUAAUGAGGAUGCAGAUUCUGGUGGUGGUGCUGAAAUUUAGACUCAUUAGGAUAUAGCUUUGUGAUGGUGAUGCAGAACAUGGAAAAAUCUAUUCAUAAUGGAGAUAUAACUAAAUUGAAUUUAUUUCUUGUUAUUAUCUGGUCAUACAUUUCCAUCUGUUUUAUUACUUGCUAAAUCCUUUUCUCAUCAUCAUGACAGGAAAAAACAUUCUCUUUGAUUCCAGAUAAUAGGUGUAUCCAGAAUCAACAAAACCAACAUAACCAAGGAAAUUAGGAGUGGAGGUUCUGUAUAUAAUUUACAGGUUAUCAACUCAUCCGGCAGCGAGAAGGAAAAGGGGUCGUGGAGAUGGUUAUGCUAAUUCAAGAUGUUCUUGCUGCAGACAGCGUGAUUAAUGAGGACUGCACUGCUGCUGCUAGUGCCGAUACAGAGACAGAAGUAAAACUGUUAAAAGCUGAAAAUGGAGAUGAUCAGAAAGUGACAAAGAAAAAUCAGAGUCAGCAGCAGUGGUUGGAAGAGUACUGAAAAUCUUUACUCCCACAAAAAAUGAAUUAAAAUGACCAAUUGAGAAUCCUGGUUAAUAAAUUACUUAAAGUACAAGUUACUUUUCAUUUUAAUAUUUUAUGGCGUGAUUAUAACUGUAUUAUCAUGUCUGAUUAAAGUCACCAGAUGUAACUGUUGAGCAGGCUGAAUGAAUGUAAGUAAUAAACAGUUACUGUGAUGAUCAGUUUGUAUUGAAAGGAA